RNAcentral lists this ribosomal RNA (460 nucleotides) under Actinomycetes bacterium. RNAcentral's name for it is "bacterial SSU rRNA". It matches the Rfam family "Bacterial small subunit ribosomal RNA", at positions 1 to 454 of the family's 1533-position model. The record is from RNAcentral. Lineage: Bacteria; Bacillati; Actinomycetota; Actinomycetes.
UUCACGGAGAGUUUGAUCCUGGCUCAGGACGAACGCUGGCGGCGCGCUUAACACAUGCAAGUCGAGCGAGAACCGGCCCUUCGGGGCCGGGGACAGCGGCGAACGGGUGAGUAACACGUGGGUAAUCUGCCCUCGGUAUCCGGAUAGCCCGGGGAAACCCGGAUUAAUACGGAAUGGCCCUUUGGAUCUUCGGAUUUGAAGGAAAAGGUAGCUUCGGCCUCCGACCGAGGAUGAGCCCGCGGCGGAUUAGCUUGUUGGUGGGGUAACGGCCUACCAAGGCGACGAUCCGUAGCUGGUCUGAGAGGACGAUCAGCCACACUGGGACUGAGACACGGCCCAGACUCCUACGGGAGGCAGCAGUGGGGAAUCUUGCGCAAUGGGCGAAAGCCUGACGCAGCGACGCCGCGUGAGGGAAGAAGGCCUUCGGGUUGUAAACCUCUUUCAGGAGGGACGAAGCCAC